UUUCCAGAGGAAGGCUCGUCCGCUCUGGGUUAGUCGGGUCCUAAGCUGAGGCCGACAGGCGUAGGCGAUGGAUAACAGGUUGAUAUUCCUGUACCACCUAUAAUCGUUUUAAUCGAUGGGGGGACGCAGUAGGAUAGGCGAAGCGUGCGAUUGGAUUGCACGUCUAAGCAGUAAGGCUGAGUAUUAGGCAAAUCCGGUACUCGUUAAGGCUGAGCUGUGAUGGGGAGAAGACAUUGUGUCUUCGAGUCGUUGAUUUCACACUGCCGAGAAAAGCCUCUAGAUAGAAAAUAGGUGCCCGUACCGCAAACCGACACAGGUAGUCAAGAUGAGAAUUCUAAGGUGAGCGAGCGAACUCUCGUUAAGGAACUCGGCAAAAUGACCCCGUAACUUCGGGAGAAGGGGUGCUCUUUAGGGUUAACGCCCAGAAGAGCCGCAGUGAAUAGGCCCAAGCGACUGUUUAUCAAAAACACAGGUCUCUGCUAAACCGUAAGGUGAUGUAUAGGGGCUGACGCCUGCCCGGUGCUGGAAGGUUAAGAGGAGUGGUUAGCUUCUGCGAAGCUACGAAUCGAAGCCCCAGUAAACGGCGGCCGUAACUAUAACGGUCCUAAGGUAGCGAAAUUCCUUGUCGGGUAAGUUCCGACCCGCACGAAAGGCGUAACGAUUUGGGCACUGUCUCAACGAGAGACUCGGUGAAAUCAUAGUACCUGUGAAGAUGCAGGUUACCCGCGACAGGACGGAAAGACCCCGUGGAGCUUUACUGUAGCCUGAUAUUGAAAUUCGGCACAGCUUGUACAGGAUAGGUAGGAGCCUUUGAAACGUGAGCGCUAGCUUACGUGGAGGCGCUGGUGGGAUACUACCCUAGCUGUGUUGGCUUUCUAACCCGCACCACUUAUCGUGGUGGGAGACAGUGUCAGGCGGGCAGUUUGACUGGGGCGGUCGCCUCCUAAAAGG
Molecule: ribosomal RNA, 951 nt
Filed under: Staphylococcus aureus
Lineage: Bacteria; Bacillati; Bacillota; Bacilli; Caryophanales; Staphylococcaceae
Description: partial 23S ribosomal RNA
Rfam family: Bacterial large subunit ribosomal RNA
Source: RNAcentral